RNAcentral lists this transfer RNA (72 nucleotides) under Heterocephalus glaber (naked mole-rat). It matches the Rfam family "tRNA". From Rfam's summary of the family: Transfer RNA (tRNA) molecules are approximately 80 nucleotides in length. Their secondary structure includes four short double-helical elements and three loops (D, anti-codon, and T loops). Further hydrogen bonds mediate the characteristic L-shaped molecular structure. tRNAs have two regions of fundamental functional importance: the anti-codon, which is responsible for specific mRNA codon recognition, and the 3' end, to which the tRNAs corresponding amino acid is attached (by aminoacyl-tRNA synthetases). tRNAs cope with the degeneracy of the genetic code in two manners: having more than one tRNA (with a specific anti-codon) for a particular amino acid; and 'wobble' base-pairing, i.e. permitting non-standard base-pairing at the 3rd anti-codon position. Lineage: Eukaryota; Metazoa; Chordata; Mammalia; Rodentia; Bathyergidae. The record is from Rfam by way of RNAcentral.
GAAGUAGUAUCUCAGUGGUAGAGCACUUAUCUAGCAUGUAUGAGGUCCUGGGUUCAAUUCCCAGUAUCAUUA